CAGGGAUUGCCUCAGUAACGGCGAGUGAAGCGGCAACAGCUCAAAUUUGAAAUCUGGCGCAAGCCCGAAUUGUAAUUUGCAGAGGAUGUUUUUGGCGCGGUGCCUUCCGAGUUCCCUGGAACGGGACGCCAUAGAGGGUGAGAGCCCCGUCUGGUUGGAUACCAAGCCUUUGUAAAACUCCUUCGACGAGUCGAGUAGUUUGGGAAUGCUGCUCAAAAUGGGAGGUAUAUGUCUUCUAAAGCUAAAUACCGGCCAGAGACCGAUAGCGCACAAGUAGAGUGAUCGAAAGAUGAAAAGCACUUUGAAAAGAGAGUUAAAUAGCACGUGAAAUUGUUGAAAGGGAAGCGUUCAUGACCAGACUUGAGCCGGUUGAUCAUCCAGUGUUCUCACUGGUGCACUCUGCCGGUUCAGGCCAGCAUCAGUUCGUUUCGGGGGAUAAAGGCUUUGGGAAUGUAGCUCCUCGGAGUGUUAUAGCCCAUUGUGUAAUACCCUGGGAUGGACUGAGGUUCGCGCUCUGCAAGGAUGCUGGCGUAAUGGUCAUCAACGACCCGUCUUGAAACACGGACCAAGGAGUCGUCUUCGUAUGCGAGUGUUCGGGUGUAAAACCCCUACGCGUAAUGAAAGUGAACGCAGGUGAGAGCUUCGGCGCAUCAUCGACCGAUCCUGAUGUUCUCGGAUGGAUUUGAGUAAGAGCAUACGGGGCCGGACCCGAAAGAAGGUGAACUAUGCUUGUAUAGGGUGAAGCCAGAGGAAACUCUGGUGGAGGCUCGCAGCGGUUCUGACGUGCAAAUCGAUCGUCAAAUAUGAGCAUGGGGGCGAAAGACUAAUC
This 829-nucleotide ribosomal RNA is filed under the name Parasarcopodium hongkongensis. RNAcentral describes it as "partial 28S large subunit ribosomal RNA". It matches the Rfam family "Eukaryotic large subunit ribosomal RNA", at positions 69 to 936 of the family's 3401-position model. Lineage: Eukaryota; Fungi; Ascomycota; Sordariomycetes; Hypocreales; Stachybotryaceae. The record is from RNAcentral.